UGGGGAAUAUUGCACAAUGGGCGCAAGCCUGAUGCAGCCAUGCCGCGUGUAUGAAGAAGGCCUUCGGGUUGUAAAGUACUUUCAGCGGGGAGGAAGGCGAUAAGGUUAAUAACCUUGUCGAUUGACGUUACCCGCAGAAGAAGCACCGGCUAACUCCGUGCCAGCAGCCGCGGUAAUACGGAGGGUGCAAGCGUUAAUCGGAAUUACUGGGCGUAAAGCGCACGCAGGCGGUCUGUCAAGUCGGAUGUGAAAUCCCCGGGCUCAACCUGGGAACUGCAUUCGAAACUGGCAGGCUAGAGUCUUGGAGAGGGGGGUAGAAUUCCAGGUGUAGCGGUGAAAUGCGUAGAGAUCUGGAGGAAUACCGGUGGCGAAGGCGGCCCCCUGGACAAAGACUGACGCUCAGGUGCGAAAGCGUGGGGAGCAAACC
RNAcentral lists this ribosomal RNA (427 nucleotides) under uncultured bacterium. RNAcentral describes it as "partial 16S ribosomal RNA". It matches the Rfam family "Bacterial small subunit ribosomal RNA", at positions 355 to 774 of the family's 1533-position model. The record is from RNAcentral.